Molecule: ribosomal RNA, 465 nt
Filed under: uncultured bacterium
Lineage: Bacteria
Description: partial 16S ribosomal RNA
Rfam family: Bacterial small subunit ribosomal RNA
Source: RNAcentral
GACGAACGCUGGCGGCGUGCUUAACACAUGCAAGUCGAACGAUGAAGCCCAGCUUGCUGGGUGGAAGAGUGGCGAACGGGUGAGUAACACGUGAGUAACCUGCCCUGAACUCUGGGAUAAGCACUGGAAACGGUGUCUAAUACUGGAUACGACCUAUCACCGCAUGGUGUGUGGGUGGAAAGAUUUAUCGGUUCUGGAUGGACUCGCGGCCUAUCAGCUAGAUGGUGAGGUAAUGGCUCACCAUGGCGACGACGGGUAGCCGGCCUGAGAGGGUGACCGGCCACACUGGGACUGAGACACGGCCCAGACUCCUACGGGAGGCAGCAGUGGGGAAUAUUGCACAAGGGGCGCAAGCCUGAUGCAGCAACGCCGCGUGAGGGAUGACGGCCUUCGGGUUGUAAACCUCUUUUAGUAGGGAAGAAGCGAAAGUGACGGUACCUGCAGAAAAAGCACCGGCUAACUACG